RNAcentral lists this ribosomal RNA (308 nucleotides) under uncultured bacterium. Its description in RNAcentral is "bacterial SSU rRNA". It matches the Rfam family "Bacterial small subunit ribosomal RNA", at positions 30 to 334 of the family's 1533-position model. The record is from RNAcentral.
AUUGAACGCUGGUGGUAUGCUUAACACAUGCAAGUCGAACGGCAGCAUGAUCUAGUUUACUAGGUUGAUGGCGAGUGGCGGACGGGUGAGUAACGCGUAGGAAUCUACCAUAUUGAGGGGGAUAACUUUAGGAAACUGAAGCUAAUACCGCAUAAUACCUUCGGGUCAAAGGUGCCAACUUGUUGGUGUCGCAAUAUGAUGAGCCUGCGUUGGAUUAGCUAGUUGGUAAGGUAAAGGCUUACCAAGGCGACGAUCCAUAGCUGUUCUGAGAGGGAGAUCAGCCACACUGGGACUGAGACACGGCCCAG